Molecule: ribosomal RNA, 656 nt
Filed under: Amanita pseudosculpta
Lineage: Eukaryota; Fungi; Basidiomycota; Agaricomycetes; Agaricales; Amanitaceae
Description: partial large subunit ribosomal RNA
Rfam family: Eukaryotic large subunit ribosomal RNA
Source: RNAcentral
GGAUUCCCUUAGUAACUGCGAGUGAAGAGGGAAAAGCUCAAAUUUAAAAUCUGGCAGUGCUUUGCUGUCCGAGUUGUAACCUAGAGAAGUGUAGCCUGUGCUGGACCGUGUACAAGUCUCCUGGAAUGGAGCAUCACAGAGGGUGAGAAUCCCGUCUUUGACAUGGACUGCCAGUAUGUCAUGGUUGUGCUCUCAACGAGUCGAGUUGUUUGGGAAUGCAGCUCUAAAUGGGUGGUAAAUUCCAUCUAAAGCUAAAUAUUGGCGAGAGACCGAUAGCGAACAAGUACCGUGAGGGAAAGAUGAAAAGAACUUUGGAAAGAGAGUUAAACAGUAUGUGAAAUUGUUGAAAGGGAAACGUUUGAAGUCAGUCUUGUUGGCUGGGGAUCAGUCCAACUUUGUUGGGCGUACUUCCUGACUGACAGGCCAACAUCAGUCUUGACUGUCAGAAAAAGGUGAAUGGAAUGUGGCACCUUUGGGUGUGUUAUAGCUUUUCAUCAUAUAUGGCAGUUGGGACUGAGGAAUGCAGUGUGCCGAAAGGCUGGGUUUUUGACCACAUUUCGCACUGAGGAUGUUGGCAUAAUGGCUUUAAGCGACCCGUCUUGAAACACGGACCAAGGAGUCUAACAUGCAUGCGAGUGUUUGGGUGGAAAACCCUU